AGAGUUUGAUCAUGGCUCAGAUUGAACGCUGGCGGCAGGCCUAACACAUGCAAGUCGAGCGGUAGCACAGAGAGCUUGCUCUCGGGUGACGAGCGGCGGACGGGUGAGUAAUGUCUGGGAAACUGCCUGAUGGAGGGGGAUAACUACUGGAAACGGUAGCUAAUACCGCAUAAUGUCGCAAGACCAAAGUGGGGGACCUUCGGGCCUCAUGCCAUCAGAUGUGCCCAGAUGGGAUUAGCUUGUAGGUGGGGUAACGGCUCACCUAGGCGACGAUCCCUAGCUGGUCUGAGAGGAUGACCAGCCACACUGGAACUGAGACACGGUCCAGACUCCUACGGGAGGCAGCAGUGGGGAAUAUUGCACAAUGGGCGCAAGCCUGAUGCAGCCAUGCCGCGUGUGUGAAGAAGGCCUUCGGGUUGUAAAGCACUUUCAGCGGGGAGGAAGGCGGUGAGGUUAAUAACCUCAUCGAUUGACGUUACCCGCAGAAGAAGCACCGGCUAACUCCGUGCCAGCAGCCGCGGUAAUACGGAGGGUGCAAGCGUUAAUCGGAAUUACUGGGCGUAAAGCGCACGCAGGCGGUCUGUCAAGUCGGAUGUGAAAUCCCCGGGCUUAACCUGGGAACUGCAUUCGAAACUGGCAGGCUAGAGUCUUGUAGAGGGGGGUAGAAUUCCAGGUGUAGCGGUGAAAUGCGUAGAGAUCUGGAGGAAUACCGGUGGCGAAGGCGGCCCCCUGGACAAAGACUGACGCUCAGGUGCGAAAGCGUGGGGAGCAAACAGGAUUAGAUACCCUGGUAGUCCACGCCGUAAACGAUGUCGAUUUGGAGGUUGUGCCCUUGAGGCGUGGCUUCCGGAGCUAACGCGUUAAAUCGACCGCCUGGGGAGUACGGCCGCAAGGUUAAAACUCAAAUGAAUUGACGGGGGCCCGCACAAGCGGUGGAGCAUGUGGUUUAAUUCGAUGCAACGCGAAGAACCUUACCUGGUCUUGACAUCCACAGAACUUUCCAGAGAUGGAUUGGUGCCUUCGGGAACUGUGAGACAGGUGCUGCAUGGCUGUCGUCAGCUCGUGUUGUGAAAUGUUGGGUUAAGUCCCGCAACGAGCGCAACCCUUAUCCUUUGUUGCCAGCGGUCCGGCCGGGAACUCAAAGGAGACUGCCAGUGAUAAACUGGAGGAAGGUGGGGAUGACGUCAAGUCAUCAUGGCCCUUACGACCAGGGCUACACACGUGCUACAAUGGCAUAUACAAAGAGAAGCGACCUCGCGAGAGCAAGCGGACCUCAUAAAGUAUGUCGUAGUCCGGAUUGGAGUCUGCAACUCGACUCCAUGAAGUCGGAAUCGCUAGUAAUCGUAGAUCAGAAUGCUACGGUGAAUACGUUCCCGGGCCUUGUACACACCGCCCGUCACACCAUGGGAGUGGGUUGCAAAAGAAGUAGGUAGCUUAACCUUCGGGAGGGCGCUUACCACUUUGUGAUUCAUGACUGGGGUGAAGUCGUAACAAGGUAACCGUAGGGGAACCUGCGGUUGGAUCACCU
Molecule: ribosomal RNA, 1528 nt
Filed under: Klebsiella pneumoniae
Lineage: Bacteria; Pseudomonadati; Pseudomonadota; Gammaproteobacteria; Enterobacterales; Enterobacteriaceae
Also listed under: 1 other name
Description: bacterial SSU rRNA
Rfam family: Bacterial small subunit ribosomal RNA
Source: RNAcentral